RNAcentral lists this long non-coding RNA (8679 nucleotides) under Marmota monax (woodchuck). Lineage: Eukaryota; Metazoa; Chordata; Mammalia; Rodentia; Sciuridae. The record is from RNAcentral.
CUGGAGAAGAGGAACAUUUUUUGCAGCUUUUGUGUCCUAUGAUCACAGUGCUGAAAAUAAACUGAAAAAGACAAUAAAUCUGAGUUAAAUUUAUUGAGUAUUCUCAUCAAUGACAUCGAUUCGACCGACUGGCCGGAGGCGUUGAUGUGAUCCUGGUGCAUCGACCUCAUAGCUUCUUGAGCGAUGGUAAGUCUCUUGUCGUGACAGGCUUUCCCUGUCUCCGCCUCAGUUCGGCUUAAGGAGGCCAUCUGUGUGCAGUGUAGCAUGGGACUCCCCAGCAGUACAGUGCCUCUGCUUUGUUUGUCCUGAGACAUUGUCCCUGCUUCACAGAGGAGGACUUUGCAGCUGAGGGGACAAGCCACUUCUUGAGGUCAGACAGGCAGUGACUUGGCGGAGCCAGGGUUUGAGUCCAGAUCAGACUUUCCGACAGUGCAGCACCCACCAGCGCAUCCCUACUAACCCGCCCCAGGUAGUUCUAACGAACAGCUAAUUAAAAACCCCCUCAGUCCUUCUGGCCAGCAGAGCUGAGCGCUGAUUCUCAGUAGUUGAAUUCACUGAUGAAUUCAGUCGGAUAUGAGGUUGUCCCAUGGCUGUCACAGCAGUGGGAUUCCAUAAAACAUGAGACAGAGGGAGGCAUCCAACCUGCUAAUGUGGCCUGGGCCCGUCUUUAUUGUCGCGCAGGAACCAGAUGUAACUACCUCUUGCUGACUGGUUUCAUUAAGAUUUAAGAACCACUCAUUCUUUUGGAUGCACAUCUAAAUGUGUACUCACCGUGAUAAAACCUACUGGACAGAAGUCCGUGGAUGUGCUAAUUAAUAAGACACAGCUCUUCUUUUAGUUGUUUGGAAAGGUACUUUCCAAACAUUCCUUUGGGCAGCUAAUGUGUCUUUUAAUUUUUUUUUCCCCUUUAUGCCCUUAAUGAGGUCUUGGUUAUGCCCUUAAUGAGGUCUUGGUUUCAAUCAGAUCUGAGAGAGUCCUGCUGAACAAUGCUGUUCUGUGAACACAGUAAUUUGAUAGGAGCUUAGUGGCUGGGGACCAUGUGCAGCCAGGGUCCUCCUCCUCGUUAGGUGCUGGAUGCAGCCAGCAAUCCUAAGCAGUUUUCUAACUUGGUAAUUGGAAUAUUUAGGGUGAAUUUCCAUCAUCAGUGGGAGUAGGUACACUAAAAUACCUGAUUCCAAAGUGCAUGCACAGGAAUUGUGAGUGGGUGGAGUGCAGGAUGCUUGAUUUCUGGGGAAAUGUGAGCUUGAGGGUGAAGACCACUAUCACUCACCACAAAUGCCAUCACAUCACAGCCACGUGAUGCAGGGUAUGUGACAGGGAAAGGGACUUGUUCAAAUGGAUUUUGUUGGCUGGUUGGUUGGUUGGGUUUUAAUCUGUUCCACCAAAUCCCACAACUGAUAACAUUGAACAUUUACAAAGUACCUGAUUUGGAUCAAUCCCUGAAUGAAAUGCUAUUUAACUCUCUCUCUCUCUCUCUCUCUCUCUCUCUCUCUCUCUCUCUCUCUCUCUCUCUCUCUCUUUUUUGUUGUUGUUUGGUGGUGCUGGGGAUUGAACCCAGGGCCUUGUGCAUGCUAGGCAAGCUCUCUACCAACUGAGCUACAUCCCCAGCCCACUACUAUUUAACUCUUACAUCCUACAAUUAUUAUAAUUCCAAUUCUACAAGUAAAUGAUGAAAAGGAAGCCCAGGGAGUUUAUGUUAUUUGCCCAACAUGUUGAAGCUAUAUAACACCUAAAGAGAAACGUGUAAUUGGAUGGGUUUCCACGAAGUGAGCUCACUCAUGGAACCCCACCCAGGACAAGAAACAGGGCACAGAAGGCGCCUGGGACCCAAGCACUCUCAGCCCUUGCAAGGGUCACCACCAUCUCAUUCUAACACCACCCCAGGCUCGCCUGUGUUUGAGCUUUCCUGUCGUAGACUCAUACAGCAUGUGGCCUUCUGUGUGUGGCUCCUUUCACCUACAGAGAGGAGAGAGGUGGGAGAGGGUCAUUCUUUUGCAGGGAGGUGGGGGGAGGGCCUGCGCAAGCUAGGCAAGCACUCUGCCACUGGGCUGCACCCCAGACCCAGAAUUGAUUCUCAGGCGUGCCAUAGGAGAGUGUCAUUGCUUUUCAUCUGUCACUGUUUAUCAAAAAGACAUUCAUGGGCCCCUGCUCUGCUGCGUGACUCCUGCCAUAAAUCAAAGUGUCCCUCUAUGUGGGUCUUCAGGCUUUCUGACUUGUUCUGAUCAUCUAUUUUUUUCUCUUCUUGCGUCAAUAGCGCACUGAAGUCUUGGUACCCAGUUGAGAAACUCUUCCAGAUUUUUGUUCUUCAGGAUUGCUAAGUAAUAGACUCAUUGCAUUAUCAUGGAACUUUUAGAAUUAGCUUAUUAAUGUUCAUAAAAUGCCUGCUGGAAUUUUAAUUGGGAUUGUAUUGCAUUGGGACAGAUCAAUUUGGUAUAUAACAUCACAUUUUAGUCCAUGAACAUCUCUCCAUUUAUUUAGGUCUUAUUUGAAGUUUUUGAAUAUUAUUUUAUUGUUUUCAGCAUAGUAGUCUUGAACAUAUUUUGUCAGAUUUUCUGGUUGUUAGAUUUUUUAAAUGUUAUCUUUUUUUUUUUUUGUACUAGGGAUUGAACUCAGGGAUACUCAGCCACUGAGCCACGUCCCUGUAUUUUAUUUAGAGACAGGGUCUCACUGUUUUGUGCCUCGCCAUUGUUGAGGCUGGCUUUGAACUCUCUAUCCUCCUGCCUCAGCCUCCUGAGCUGCCGGGAUUACAGGUGUGCGCCACUGUGCCCGGCUCUACUCAUUUCUUUACUAUUUAUUUCUUUUCUCUUUCUUUGAGUCUAAUUUGUAAUUAAACUCAAUGAAUUUUCUAACUUCAUAUUUAUUUUUAGCCUUUCCCAACACACUUUCCUGUAAACUUAAGUUCAGUUAUAGCCCACAAAUUUAGGAUUGCACUAUAGUUCGGCUCAAAAUAUGUUCUAAUUUCCAUUUUAUUUAUCUUUCACUUGUGGUUUACUUAGAAGUGCAUUUUCAAAUUUUCAAACACAUUGGGAUUUUUCAUUUAUCUUUUUGUUGUAGAUUUCUUAGCUAAAGAAAAAGGUAACAUGGUAUAGGUACUUCAAAUCUUUUGACACUUUUCAAGACCUGAAAACUCAGUCGUACACCAGUCUAAAACACUUCUAGACACACUCGUAGUUACACAAGGGACGCCGGUGACCUCAUGGUCUAAGAAGACACAGUAAACCUAGUUCAAACAAUUCAUUUAAAAAGUUCAGUGGACACAAACAAGACUAAAAAUAGAUAAGAUAGUACAUGGUUUUCUUUACACAUUUUCAAAGGAUGAUAGUAACAUUUAAACGAAUGAAGAGAAUUAUUAGAUAGGUAAAUACGAAGAAUAUUUAACUUUGACUGGAACCGUGACACAUUAUCACUGACUCCUCCGACUCCAUCCUCCUAACUUUCAAGUUCCGGCUGGAGUCGUUGAAUCGUUUUGGGAUAGAAUUUUUUUUAUUUAUUUAUUUUUCUUCCCUCUAGACCCCCACGUCAAAUCACCAUUUCGUAAGGUCCCAAUUUAGGAAUCAUGUUUUUUUCAAUUUUUAACUUCACCACGAUAAUUCCACAUAUGUUUAAAGACUUAACGACAUAGAAGGACUUCUCAACCUAUAAAACAUUAAUACUAGACAGAAGGGAAUAACGAGAAACUGGAUCUCAGAUAAAACAGACUAUAAUCUCUCGAUUUAAUCAAAGAAGAUAAACAUACCGUGAUUUUUUUCCAAACUUUUUACUUUUUACUUUUUUUUUUUUUUGAUACUAGAGAUUAAACCCAGAGGCACUUAACUACUGAGCCUCAUCCCCAGCCCUUUUUAUUUUUUGAGACAAAGUCUUGCUAAGUUGCUGAGCGUUUCCCCAAGUUGCCCAGGCUGAACUUGAACUUGCUCUGGUUUGAGGAGCAUGCUGCCAGGCCCCAUUGACGUGAACCCUGCUCUUCUGAGCACCCCUGGGAGAACGUGGUAAGCUGUAGGAGCCCAGGGAGGUCUUGGCUGGAGGAACAGAGGCCUGGUCCUUCUCAGGUCUGAGAAGCUGAAUUUAACCCCAGGACCUAGAGGGGCUGCAUCUUGUAGCCAUCCCACAGAUUUGGGGUGAUAUCAAUCAGUAAAUGAACCAGUCAAUGUCUAAAACUGCUUUUGUAUGAAGCAGACGUGGACAUCAGGAGAAGCACGGAGACCCGGGCACACCCUCAAACCAGGUCGGGGCCCGCGGAGCUGUGGCUGCUCCCACGGCGUGGAUGCUCUCUGGAGCAGAGCCUGCCCUUCUCAGAAGUCAGGGGCCUCCGGGGAAGAGGGUUUCCUUGGCAUGCGCCCAGGGACAAUGGCUCAGCGAGGACCUUCUCACUGGUGAGAACCAGGCAGGCGAGCAGUGUGGCUGCCACUUUCUGGGAGUGACUACUUCUGUGAUUCUGUCCUCGUCACCCGUGCUGUCCUGGGCUCUGCAGGCUGAAUUCCCGCGAGUAGACAGGGGCCCGCGUGCUCCUGUGCUCUGGACCACCCUACAGCAGUCUGGGUUUGGGAGGAGCCAAUGUCGCUGCACUGCCCCCAGCCCCCAACCUGCACCACCAUCGUCCUGCCAGGGUGACUGCUGAGAGAACAGGAAGUGCUGACCGAGGCCACCCAGCUACUUGGUAUUCUGGGGAGGAAGGCAGCAGGAGGCAGAAUCCUCAGCUGAACCUGCCUGGCCGCUCUGAGGCUGCAGGGCACUUGGCAAAAGGGCCAGGAAGUGAAAUAACAAAGUUUCCAAAGGCCCACACUCAAGGGGGCCUGGGGCAUGCAGUGGCCUCCGCUGUCCCCACUCUGUGGAGAAUCUCUGGGGUCCAGAAAAAGGAGGAAGCUGUUGUGCUGGGGUCAGGAAUCAUCCUAUAAGAAGCCAGCCCGAGGGGUAGAGGACAGGGCACCUCACCAGCACCACCAGCAGCUUGCUGAACAGUGCCCCCUCACAGUGCAAAUGACUGAUGACAGCCCAGGAAGUGCCCAGCCUCAAGGUCAUGCCCCAGGCCCCCUUGAGUGUGGGCCUGAGAUGAGGGAGGGGAGGGGAACCACAGUCACGUUGGUGGGUGGGCCAACAAACUACUGGUCUCCCCUAUUUCCUGGGAGUCAGACCCCAGAAUGUAAAUCCUAUUAACACUGACAAGUGAAAGAGGCCUGAGACGCACCAGGUGCUUGGCUCUGGGCUGACAGAGGCCCUGGUGCCCAGGGUCAAGCGUGUCUCCCUUCAGACAGACACACACCCUGCCCCGGUGUCCCCCUCCCAGUCCGGCCUCCUCAGACCUGUCUUCAACUCCUGGCUGACUCCUCUGAGCUCUGCUCAGGUGGGGCACAUGAGGAGGGCGUGGCAGGGCAGGGCAGCCGGCUGCUUCACCGGGCACCUUAGGGUCCCUGCUUGGUCAACAAGGGGAGCUGAUGUUGUGCAGGCCUUGAGAACCCAGGGCCCCCUCAGCAAAAGCUACCCACUUGCAAAAAUCCUGCUGACUCAGCCCCCGAAGGCUGACCAGGCUGAGGUGGCCCCACCUGCUCAGAAAGUUCCAGAGCAGGUAAAUGGCAAGGAUAGCACACAGAGGUAACUGGUCUACUGCCUCUUCUGGAGAGUGAGCCAGAGGCCGCUCUGAUGGAUGGGGGUCUUCAGGUGGCGAGUGUGGGGGGCAUCUGGGCAGAUAGCAAACCAGCUGGGCCAGAGCAUGGAGACUGGCAUGGAGGCGGAGGUCUGAGGGCAGGUUGGGGCGAAGGCGCCACCUGGCCUGCCCCAAACAGGUGCUGCAUGGGGGGGCAGAGGCUGAGGGCCAGGGGCAAAUACCACCCACACCCACUUCAUCCACAGCAGGAGGAACAGUGAGAGGAACCCCAGACACAUUGACUUUCCCUUGAUCCCCAAAGACAUUCUUCCUGUGCGGCUACUUGAGAUGCAGACAUGGAAAGUGGAUAUUUGGGGGUCAGUAGGAGGGAAUGGCCUGGCCCCAUGGACGGGUAGGGAGACAGGGAUGGUAGGGAGACAGGGGGCCCCGGAAAUCCCCAGGGAAGUUCUGGGAGUAGUAGGGACUUUUCUUCAACCCUCAGUCCCUUCCCCAGAUAAGACUUCCAGUUCCCCCAGCAGCCCAAGGGACAGUCACCAUGGUUUGUGGACACUAAAAUGUCCAGAAUGUCAGGUUCACAUGAUGCUCCUGCUCUGUAGGCAGCUUCCCCAGAGCUGCAGGGGAGUUCUUAAGGGAAGUGUCAUGAUUAUUGCUGCUUUUGGAGUACUACCCUCCUCUCUGCAGGGCCCUUCUAUCCCCUCCUAUUUAGUGGAUGUGUGUGUGUGUGUGUGUGUGUGUGUGUCUCUGCUCACCCCCAAUAGGAGGCCACCCAUAGGUGCUACAAGGACCAGACCCAGAAGCUGGGUUCCAACCAACCAUGUCCACAGGCUCCAUGCUGGGUGGCCUUAGACCAGGGUCAUGAGCACUCUCUUGACUCUCUUGGCCUGUCUUUACUCAUUCAUCUUUAAAAAGGAUUUUAACCCUUUAGGGGUGUCCAAAAAUCAGGGGAAAAGAUGGAUGUAAAGGAAUCCACCCAUGAUUACUCUUUAGAUGGAAAGGGCACAUAUACACUUAUUUAUUUGCUAUUAUUCAUUCAUUCAACAAAUAUUCUUUGUGCUUGGUACUAAGAAGUCAGCAGAGAAGGAAAGACAACAGAUGUAGCCCUUGUUCUCAGGAAUCCAACAGCUCAAGGCAGGCAUGAUACAGAGAUUGCGGUCCAUGUCACGAAGGGUCAGGUGGGAGUGGUGAGCCCAGUGGUGAGCUCUGAACGGGGACAGUUCGCCAACAUGACCUGGAGGAUGGGCUGAACUACCCAGGUCAGCCCCGGAGGCUGAGGCUCAGCAGAGGAUCUGAGCCUGGGAGUCUGUCCACAGGGGACCAGACACUUAGGCUCAUCCGUCAGAGUAAGACCAAGAGCCUGGCACUCUGCCCACACAGGGAUGGAGCCAGUGGUAGCAGAUGGGUCCUGGGUAUGUCAGAAAAGGUGCUGGGAAAGGGGGGCCCAGGGCAGGAUGGGGAGUCCUUUGGGGGAAAUGGUAGAACCAUCAGAAAUCCAGUUCCCGGAGGACCAGUUACAAGGGUGGCAUCUGGGCCAGGCAACAGUGUCCCACACGGUCUGGCCACCAGCAUGGCCCUCUCCCCACCGCACCCAGGGCCAGAUCAUAUGGCUUUGUCUCUUUUAUCUCUGGCCCCAAGCACCACCCAAGGACUCUGGCUUUCCACACUCUGUUCAAGGUCAGGAUCGUAUGCUGUUACUCCAUGGGGCCAUGCUGGCUUUGGCCUCCUUCUGAGUACGCAGCAGGUUUCAGAGUCUGGGACCACAGUGAUCUUCUGGACGGACGUUCAGUGGUGCCGGAGCGGUGCUCUUGUGUGCUGAACACAUGGUGAGGAAAAGCCAGAGGGUCGAGAUGUUUGGAAACAAGCUGCCCCUUGCCCUGUAUGCGCAACUCCCCAGGCCAGGAUUCCCAGGGACUUUUAAGGAGUUAACAGACACAAACCCUUAAAUAGGUCUGAUAUUAUAGCCCUAUAAUUACAGAGAACAGAUUCCCUGUGGCUCUUGACACCCAUUCUCCAUCCUUAAGUGGUUCCAGACCCUGAGUGCUGUCCUCACUGGGCAGUGGGUGCUGUUUGUGUUCGUUUUCAAGGGAAGGACACAGAUUCAAGGCAGGGAGGACCUGGCCCAUGGGAAGCACACAGCCGGCCACAUUCACAGCUGCUUUAAGCAGCCAGUUCUGCUCUUGACCUUGGACUUGGGCUAGGAUCAUUUGUCCUUGGUUCCUUUCACUUUUGUGACUAAGAACAUGAAACCAUCAGGGUCCUUGUUUGUGCUUGUUUUCAAUCUCUGCAGCUUCACUACAGGCUGAUCCAGGGCUCCGGCUGCCCCAUUGUGAUUCUGCGGCCAUUGCCCAACUCCAUGGAUGCUGACGUCAGCAAAACCACGUGAAGAAGGGUCUUCUGCGCUGGACGCUGCCCAGGCGUGUGGUGGGCAGCCAGCAGGUGUCCUCUGGCAUCAGACCUACAUCCAGACAAGCUCAUGAUAAUUCCUGGGAGAGGCUGGCCCCAGAAAAAGAAAGGAGCUUUCUGUGAAAGAAACAAAUGUCCCAAGAUGCCUCCUUUAACUAAGAAGAGCUAGGGAGUGACACACAGUCCUGGAUUUUAGAACCACCAUUGGACUGAAACAAGUGUGCCAAAGAGGAGCACAAAGGACAUCACCUUAAGACUUAGAGGAGGUACAUACUUAAUGGUGUUAAGCAUUGCAAAAUGGAAAAAAUUACAGAAAGCCAUUGUUUUGGACUAGGCUUCUGCACUGGCCCCAGCAGACCAGCUAAAACCAAAAACGGAGUCCCUCAGGCUAAAUUCCACAUCACCACACUGAAGCUGUUUUAUCUGACCUGUUGAAACUAAGCUCUUUAUCUGACCUUUGAGAAAUCAGGAUUAGAGAGAUAAUAGCCAAAUUUCCCAAACAAGCUGGCGUGAUAGUGAAGUUCCCUCUGCUUUAAUCUUCACAGAAAAGAAGUCACCUGAUAUAACCUGAUGUUAUUUACCAAUGGCCAUUUUUUCUCUUCUGCCCCCUUUACUUUUGUUUCUUGCUUUCUUUCGUCUUUGUCUGUCUAUAAAAUUCACCUCUUCUGCUCAGGACAUGG